Molecule: ribosomal RNA, 361 nt
Filed under: uncultured bacterium
Lineage: Bacteria
Description: bacterial SSU rRNA
Rfam family: Bacterial small subunit ribosomal RNA
Source: RNAcentral
AACGAACGCUGGCGGCAUGCCUAACACAUGCAAGUCGAACGAGACCUUCGGGUCUAGUGGCGCACGGGUGCGUAACGCGUGGGAACCUGCCUUUAGGUUCGGAAUAACUCAGAGAAAUUUGAGCUAAUACCGGAUAAUGUCUUCGGACCAAAGAUUUAUCGCCUUUAGAUGGGCCCGCGUUGGAUUAGCUAGUUGGUGGGGUAAAGGCCUACCAAGGCGACGAUCCAUAGCUGGUCUGAGAGGAUGAUCAGCCACACUGGGACUGAGACACGGCCCAGACUCUACGGGAGGCAGCAGUGGGGAAUAUGGACGAAUGGGCGGAAAGCCUGAUCCAGCAAUAGCCGCGUGAGUGAUGAAGGCU